RNAcentral lists this ribosomal RNA (1330 nucleotides) under Ophiostoma californicum. Its description in RNAcentral is "partial 28S ribosomal RNA". It matches the Rfam family "Eukaryotic large subunit ribosomal RNA", at positions 69 to 1413 of the family's 3401-position model. RNAcentral also lists the same sequence under 2 other names. Lineage: Eukaryota; Fungi; Ascomycota; Sordariomycetes; Ophiostomatales; Ophiostomataceae. The record is from RNAcentral.
CAGGGAUUGCCCUAGUAACGGCGAGUGAAGCGGCAACAGCUCAAAUUUGAAAUCUGGCUACAUUUCGUGGUCCGAGUUGUAAUUUGUAGAGGAUGCUUUUGGUGAGGUGCCUUCCGAGUUCCCUGGAACGGGACGCCAUAGAGGGUGAGAGCCCCGUACGGUUGGACACCAAACCUCUGUAUAGCUCCUUCAACGAGUCGAGUAGUUUGGGAAUGCUGCUCUAAAUGGGAGGUAUAUCUCUUCUAAAGCUAAAUAUAGGCUAGAGACCGAUAGCGCACAAGUAGAGUGAUCGAAAGAUGAAAAGCACUUUGAAAAGAGAGUUAAACAGCACGUGAAAUUGUUGAAAGGGAAGCGCCUAUGACCAGACUUGUUUCUGGCAGUUUCGUUAGCCUUCGGGCUGAUUUACUCUGUCCAGUACAGGCCAGCAUCAGUUUGCUGUCGGGGAGAAAGGCUCUGGGAACGUAGCUCCCCUCUUCGGGGGGGAGUGUUAUAGCCCUCUGCAUAAUACCCUUCGGCAGACUGAGGACCGCGCUUCGGCAAGGAUGCUGGCGUAAUGGUCAUCAGCGACCCGUCUUGAAACACGGACCAAGGAGUCAACCUUAUGUGCGAGUGUUUGGGUGUAAAACCCCAGCGCGUAAUGAAAGUGAACGUAGGUGAGAGCUUCGGCGCAUCAUCGACCGAUUCUGAUGUUUUCGGAUGGAUUUGAGUAAGAGCACACAGGGUUGGACCCGAAAGAAGGUGAACUAUGCUUGUAUAGGGUGAAGCCAGAGGAAACUCUGGUGGAGGCUCGCAGCGGUUCUGACGUGCAAAUCGAUCGUCAAAUAUGAGCAUGGGGGCGAAAGACUAAUCGAACCUUCUAGUAGCUGGUUCCAGCCGAAGUUUCCCUCAGGAUAGCAGUGUUGAAUUUUCUUCAGUUUUAUGAGGUAAAGCGAAUGAUUAGGGACUCGGGGGCGCUAUAUUGCCUUCAUCCAUUCUCAAACUUUAAAUAUGUAAGAAGCCCUUGUUACUUAAUUGAACGUGGGCAUUCGAAUGUAUCAACACUAGUGGGCCAUUUUUGGUAAGCAGAACUGGCGAUGCGGGAUGAACCGAUCGCGUGGAUAAGGCGCCAGAGUGAACGCUCAUCAGACACCACAAAAGGUGUUAGUACAUCUUGACAGCAGGACGGUGGCCAUGGAAGUCGGAAUCCGCUAAGGACUGUGUAACAACUCACCUGCCGAAUGUACUAGCCCUGAAAAUGGAUGGCGCUCAAGCGUUCCGCCCAUACCACGCCCUCAGGGUAGGAUCUAUGCCCUGAGGAGUAGGCUGGCGUGGAGGUCGUGACGAAGCCUAG